UACACUGGUCUACUACGUUCAUGCCUUUUGUCUCUCUUACG
Molecule: small RNA, 41 nt
Filed under: Arabidopsis thaliana (thale cress)
Lineage: Eukaryota; Viridiplantae; Streptophyta; Magnoliopsida; Brassicales; Brassicaceae
Description: ATSL307890
Source: RNAcentral